AAUUUAUUUGAUGGGUUAAAAAAGUAACAAGUCCUUUCUAUCAAAUUUAGUCGGUCAAAUUUUUUAUUUUAUGGACCGAAAUGAUGAGCCUAAAUAAUAAAGGCCCAUUAGAAAACCGCCUAGGGCUCGAUUUAUAUAUUUCUUCUCAACAACAUAUUCGUUUCCUUGUUUUCCAAGCUUUAGAAUUUAGAUCUCAAAGUCGUUCGUUCUCAGCUUCUUAGCAACGUCACGGCGGUUCUUGCGGCUGGGGUUUUUCCUUCCUGCUGAGGUACCGCCAUCGCCAUGGAUAAUGACUUGGAAUUAGCGAUAAAGGAUGCAAUCACCGCAGAUGAUAUUAAACGUGUGGAUCAAGAAAGUAAAGACCGUUUGUUAGCUCAGGAGCUUGAUCUUGAUUCCGUGGAGAAUCCUCCUCGGAGCCACAACUCAUACGGUCAUACCUAUCGGUUAUACUCCAAGGGUUUGGUGACUGAAGAGCUUAUUAAGGAUGAUACGGUGCUGGUCGUUGGUUUAGGUUUGUCCCUCUGUGACUCGCACGAUAACACAAAACUGGAGAUUAAUAAAGCUCUGAGAAACCAAAAGCUGGCACACCCAGAAGCUGCGGAACUGGCUGCCAUCAUUCACGGCUUGAAAUGGGCCUUGGAACUUGGUGUGGAAAGUAUCCAAUUCUUCUGUGAAGACUCCAAUAUCUUGGGCUACGUUACUCGUAAAGCUGCACCGAACGAGCCCAUUGUAGCAAAACUUUUGGAGCAAGUGUCUCUUCUUCAGACAAGAUUCACGUCUUGUCAGGCACUUGCUGUAAGCAGAGACAUCAGUUCUGUCAUUAAGCUAGCAAAAGAUGCUAUAGCUUCCGAAACUAGAUGGUGUGAAGGCGACAUUGAGUAUGAGAGUUGUCCAGUCUGCUACGCUUACGUUUCGCCUAAUGAUAAGUUUGAGGUGCACGGCUGCUUCCACCGCAUCUGCGUUACGUGCAUGAGGAAGCCGUUCUCAUCCGAACAACUACUACGAGGGAACACAGCAAUCUGCCCUUACCCGGAUUGCGAGAAUGAUUCUUGUGCCAGAGGAUUGUAGAGGUUUUGCUGAUGCUGAUGCUAUUACUCUUAUGAUCCAGCGCAAGAAGGAGAAGACGAUCCCCGUUAAAGACAGAGUCUAUUGUCCCAACCCUUCUUGUUCCUUUUUGAUGUCGGACCUCGACCUCAUUAAGCACGUACUCAAUAAUCUUCGGCAGUCAGAAGCACGGAAGUACAUGGAGUGCGGCUUGUCUUUCUGCAAAAAAUGCCAUGUUCCAUGGCACUACAAGAUGACCUGCGAUGAGUUCAAGAAGUCGGAGUCUUACCUGAAAUCUGACGCGGCGCUUUUGGAGUCUUUUGUGAAGACACAGGGAUGGCAAAAGUGUUCCCAGUGUCAGAGCAUCGUUCAACAUGGUGGCGGGUGCAUACAAAUGACUUGCAGACAUUGCAAACACGAGUUCUGUUACACAUGUGGAGCUGCGUGUAAAAAGAAGAAACUGACGUGUAAAUGCUCGCGUUCAGGGAAAUAAACAUCCAAGGUUUGACUCUAUAGAUCAUUCCAAAUAGAGACAAGAUGACUUGUUUUGAAGAUAUUAGUGAUAAGCUACUGUGUGUCUCAGUGUGAGCUUAUGUAGUCUGUAGACGCUAAAUGCAAAACUGAACAAGUAUGUGAUGCAUAUUCAUGAACUCUUGAAC
This is an RNA transcript of Arabidopsis lyrata subsp. lyrata, 1703 nucleotides long. It is a transcript of the gene named potential E3 ubiquitin-protein ligase ariadne-2-like, with no coding region annotated. The transcript is spliced from 4 exons. The record is from RefSeq and is a predicted model, not a curated record. Lineage: Eukaryota; Viridiplantae; Streptophyta; Magnoliopsida; Brassicales; Brassicaceae.